AGUAAUGUAUGGGGAUCUGCCUGAUGGCGGGGGAUAACUACUGGAAACGGUAGCUAAUACCGCAUAACGUCGCAAGACCAAAGAGGGGGACCUUAGGGCCUCUUGCCAUCGGAUGUGCCCAGAUGGGAUUAGCUAGUAGGUGGGGUAACGGCUCACCUAGGCGACGAUCCCUAGCUGGUCUGAGAGGAUGAUCAGCCACACUGGGACUGAGACACGGCCCAG
Molecule: ribosomal RNA, 222 nt
Filed under: uncultured bacterium
Lineage: Bacteria
Description: partial 16S ribosomal RNA
Rfam family: Bacterial small subunit ribosomal RNA
Source: RNAcentral